This 382-nucleotide ribosomal RNA is filed under the name uncultured eukaryote. RNAcentral's name for it is "partial 18S ribosomal RNA". It matches the Rfam family "Eukaryotic small subunit ribosomal RNA", at positions 592 to 976 of the family's 1831-position model. The record is from RNAcentral.
UGUAAGCGUAUACCAAAGUUAUUGCAGUUAAAACGCUCGUAGUCGGAAUUUGGCAGUUCCGGAUGUGUGCACGUCGUGUGCGCACUUCGCGGGGAUUGCUUUUGUGGUCUUGCGUAGGAUGAGGCACUUUUAUUAGUGAACGUCCUCACGCAACCACUUUUUACUGUGAGAAAAUCAGAGUGCUCAAAGCAGGCACUUGCCGUGAAUGUAUUAGCAUGGAAUAAUAGAAUAGGACUUGGUUCUAUUUUGUUGGUUUGUUGGGACUGAGUAACGAUUAAGAGGGACAGUUGGGGGCAUUUGUAUUUCGGUGCUAGAGGUGAAAUUCUUAGAUUACCGAAAGACAAACUGCUGCGAAAGCGUCUGCCAAGGAUGUUUUCAUUGA